RNAcentral lists this ribosomal RNA (497 nucleotides) under uncultured bacterium. Its description in RNAcentral is "partial 16S ribosomal RNA". It matches the Rfam family "Bacterial small subunit ribosomal RNA", at positions 28 to 507 of the family's 1533-position model. The record is from RNAcentral.
GAUGAACGCUGGCGGCGUGCCUAAUACAUGCAAGUCGAGCGGACGGACGAUGAGCUUGCUUCUCUGAUGUUAGCGGCGGACGGGUGGGUAACACGUGGAUAACCUCCCUAUAAUACUGGGAUAACUUCGGGAAACCGGAGCUAAUACCGGAUUAUAUUUUGAACCGCAUGUUUCAAAAGCGAAAGACGGUCUUGCUGUCACUUAUAGAUGGUUCCGCGCUGCAUUAGUUAGUUGGUAAGGUAACGGCUUACCAAGGCAACGAUGCAUAGCCGACCUGAGAGGGUGAUCGGCCACACUAGAACUGAGACACGGUCCAGACUCCGAAGGGAGGCAGCAGUAGGGAAUCUACCGCAAUGAGCGAAAGCCUGACGGAGGAACGCCGCGUGAGUGAGGAAGGUCUUCGGAUCGUAAAACUCUGUUAUUAGGGAAGAACAUAUGUGUAAGUAACUGUGCACAUCUUGACGGUACCUAAUCAGAAAGCCACGGCUAACUACGUG